RNAcentral lists this ribosomal RNA (438 nucleotides) under uncultured bacterium. RNAcentral describes it as "bacterial SSU rRNA". It matches the Rfam family "Bacterial small subunit ribosomal RNA", at positions 954 to 1392 of the family's 1533-position model. The record is from RNAcentral.
GCUAAACGCGAAGAACCUUACCAAGGCUUGACAUGGAUUUCUAAGCACGUGAAAGCGUGUGACCCUUCGGGGGACUUCCACAGGUGCUGCAUGGCCGUCGUCAGCUCGUGUCGUGAGAUGUUGGGUUAAGUCCCGCAACGAGCGCAACCCCUGUGAUUAGUUGCCAGCGGGUAAUGCCGGGGACUCUAGUCAGACUGCCCAGAUCAACUGGGAGGAAGGUGGGGACGACGUCAGGUCAGUAUGGCCCUUACGCCUUGGGCUGCACACGUACUACAAUGCCCAGCACAAUGAGAACCGAGACCGCGAGGUGGAGGAAAUCUGUAAAACUGGGCCCAGUUCGGAUUGGAGGCUGCAACUCGCCUCCAUGAAGCCGGAAUCGCUAGUAAUGCUGCAUCAGCUACGGCAGCGUGAAUACGUUCCCGGGUCUUGUACACACCG